Molecule: ribosomal RNA, 1416 nt
Filed under: metagenome
Description: bacterial LSU rRNA
Rfam family: Bacterial large subunit ribosomal RNA
Source: RNAcentral
CAUCUGGUUCUCUCCGAAAUAUAUUUAGGUAUAGCGUCGAGUGAUUGCGUUUCGGCCGUAGAGCACUGUUUGGAUUAGGGGCCCUACCAGGUUACCGACUUCAGGCAAACUCCGAAGACCGUUACGGUUAACUCGGCAGUCAGUGUGCGGGGGAUAAACUUCGUACGCGAGAGGGAAACAACCCAGACCAUCAGCUAAGGACCCUAAGUGUUAACUAAGUGGCAAACGAUGUCCGAAUGCAGAGACAACCAAGAGGUUGGCUUAGAAGCAGCCACCCUUAAAAGAGUGCGUAACAGCUCACUGGUCAAGUGUUCGGGCGCGGAUAAUUCAACGGGGCUCAAGUUAACCUCCGAAGCUAUGGGUGUGCAGGCCUGCGGGCUCUGUACGCGGUAGGAGAGCGUUCCAGCUGCGUGAAGCGGAUUCGUAAGGCUCCGUGGAGCGGCUGGAAGUGAGAAUGCUGGCAUGAGUAACGAAAGUGGAGUGAGAAUCUCCACCACAGAUGGUCCAAGGUUUCCUGGGUAAAGUUCGUCUGCUCAGGGUUAGUCGGGACCUAAGGCGAGGCCGAAAGGCGUAGCCGAUGGCCAACAGGUUGAUAUUCCUGUACCACGUUGUCUCCGUUAUGACCGAUGGGGGGACGGGGAAGGAUAAGGGAACCCAGGCGAUGGUAGUCCUGGGGCAAGUACGUAGCUAGUCGCUGUAGGAAAAUCCGCAGCGGCGUUUUGACGCGAGGUGCGAUGCCAGCUGGCGUAUGCCGGCAAGUCUCUGAUUCCAUGCCUCCAAGAAAAGCCUCUAGGCAGGAUUCGCGUGCCCGUACCGAUAACCGACACAGGUGGACAAGUAGAGAAUACUAAGGUGAGCGAGCUAACUCUCGUUAAGGAACUCGGCAAAAUCGUCCCGUAACUUCGGGAGAAGGGACGCCCCGUUAGAGUGAACUCCAUCCGGAGGGAGCUCGAGGGGGCCGCAGUGAAUUGGUCCAACCGACUGUUUACCAAAAACACAGGGCUCUGCUAAGUCGUAAGACGACGUAUAGGGUCUGACGCCUGCCCGGUGCCGGAAGGUUACGUGGACUUGUUAGCUCUUCGGAGCGAAGCAGCGAAACUAAGCCCCGGUAAACGGCGGCCGUAACUAUAACGGUCCUAAGGUAGCGAAAUUCCUUGUCGGGUAAGUUCCGACCUGCACGAAUGGCGUAACGAGUUGGACGCUGUCUCAACGAGAGGCUCGGUGAAAUUAAAGUCUCGGUGAAGAUGCCGAGUACCCGCAGCUAGACGGAAAGACCCCGUGAACCUUUACUGCAACUUGAUAUUGGAGUUUGGGGUAUCUCGCUCAGGAUAGGUGGGAGACUUUGAACCAGCGACUUUGGUUGUUGGGGAGUCACCCUUGAGAUACCACCCUUGGUGCUCUGAGCUAAAAAAAAAG